Molecule: ribosomal RNA, 63 nt
Filed under: Bacillus paramycoides
Lineage: Bacteria; Bacillati; Bacillota; Bacilli; Caryophanales; Bacillaceae
Description: partial 23S ribosomal RNA
Source: RNAcentral
UGAGGUGGAAGCAUGGUGACAUGUGGAGCUGACGAAUACUAAUAGAUCGAGGACUUAACCAUA